This is a long non-coding RNA of Felis catus (domestic cat), 4382 nucleotides long. RefSeq lists it as uncharacterized. The record is from RefSeq and is a predicted model, not a curated record. The transcript has 3 exons. Lineage: Eukaryota; Metazoa; Chordata; Mammalia; Carnivora; Felidae.
CGUUCGAGUUGCCCCCUCUCCCCGGAGCUCUGAGGAAAAGAGCAGGCGGCUGGCUGGCUCGGGACCUUUCUCUGUAUGCUCAGGGGACUCGGGAAACGCCAAAGACGAUUUAGAAAGGAGCAGAAGGCCGGGACCUGGCAGCCGCCCCGCAGAGCGCAGACUCACUUCGGCGCUUGUUAGUAGGACAGCACGUCCCCGCUUGGGUAAUUCACAAACUAUUUCAUACGGGGGUUGCUGCCAUAGGCCAAAACUGGAGCGAAAGUACCAGAAUCCCCAAGUGUUCGUUGGAAUAUUAUACUAGGAAAGGAGACCCGUGGAAAGGGCCGUAGAUCGUAGAAAGUUGACAAAAAGCAUACUUGUCUCCUUCGAGCCGGAAUCGAACCAGCGACCUAAGGAUGUCUCCUGCCAGGAAGUCAGCUACAGUCCUCCGCUCUACCAGCUGAGCUAUCGAAGGAACGGGCAAACUGUCCGUGCCCCUUGAGACUCAAUGUUCAAGAACCCGAACGAGCACAGCUGCGGGCUAGAGACUGAAUAGAGCAUGCGUAUUCCGGGACGGGGAGGGGAAGGGAGUAAACGCCUGUGUAUUGUUUCACGCGUGCGCAGAAACACAACCUGGCUCCCCUUCGUGGGAUCCUGACAGACCCCGGAGAGGACCCCCAAUGCGUGUGUCCUAGAGCUAGUGGUACCAAGACUCAGCAACUCCGACACCACCUUCCUUUACUUUUCCUUUACCACCCCAUAUUGGGAGUGACUGCCCGAGUGUGGCCUUACCACUCUAAUCUGUAUGUCCCCUCAGUUUCUCCUUGUGUGGAGGGCCAGUGGCGCAAUGGAUAACGCGUCUGACUACGGAUCAGAAGAUUGUAGGUUCGACUCCUGCCUGGCUCGGCAUUUUUGUCACAAUGAUUUUUUUUUUAUAAAGCAAAGAUUAUUACUUCUUCAGGGUUCCUCAAGUCACAAAUGCCGAGAGUAUUUUACUGCACUUCGAGUCCAGAAAUCUGUUGUGCGUCGCUUCCAGUGCCGCCCCGUCGAACUCUCUCGAGCACUAAGGAGAGGCAGCCGCGGCCGCGCGGCUAACUGCCCGCGAGAGCGCUUCCGACACGGGCGGGGGGAGGCUCUGGGGAAAGCUGGCGAGAUCAGCCGCUCAGGAACUCCAGGUAGGAAGCUGGGUUAGGGAAAGUGAAGCCCGCAGUCCCCGUGAGGAAGCUGGUUGAAAUGCCAGGGCUGCUUCUGCAGCAGCUUCAUUCGUCGGGUCUUGUAAAAUAGUUGAAGACUUUAGUCACCAAAGUCACGAGAAAAACUGCCCACGCACACGCCCUGACAGUGCUGACGAAAGAAAGUUAAGGUUAAAAGGAACCAUUUGCACUACAGGGAGAUUGCAAGACUGACCCAUCCAAUUCCCAGGGCUCCAUAAGACUGCAAGUUCAUUUGCAGUCUUUCACACUCAGGAAAAGUAGAGCUAUCAUCUUGUUCAUACAGUGUCUUUCCCAAAGAAAAUAAAGUGCAUUAUAGAUGACUCUGGACAAUGUUUCGGGAGUAGAGAUAUUUGGGUACCAGGACAGAUUACUCAGAAGGAAAAAACCUUCACGAGGUAAGAUGCCCUCUUUCUGGGCCUGGGAACAAGGACCUGCCUGGGGUGGGGGGGCUCUCAGGAGCUGAAGAAGUUGAUACAGUAAUAGGAUUUUUCCGCUAUCACAAAGCUGAGUUGGCAGCCCCAGUAGCGAGCAGAAAGUGUUAACAGCUGUCCUAUUACUGCUGAUUGGAUUCUGGGAAUUUAGUUUUGCUUCUUGGGGACAGCCUGGGAACAGCAUGAAAGUUCCAGAAAGCUGCAUCCCACCCAUUUAAUACUGAGCAUGUUUAGGCCUCUUUUUGGAGAAAGGCUUUUCUCAGAAAUGACAUGUGUUGUAAGAAUUAAUCAGUUAAUCAAAAGAUAUUUGUUAGUUCCUACUUCAUUUUUAGCACUGGGAAAAAUACAAAUGUAGACUCUGACUCUAAGAUGUCAUUCUGGAAAUCACUGCUAAUUUGAGCCAUCUGCAAUUUGGAAAUGGCUUUGUUUUACAGAAACUGGUUAUACAUAACUUAAUCUAAGUUUAUACUUUGUACUCUAGAACAGCUCAAGAAUAAUAUACAGAUAAAUGUUACUUAGGUGCUUAGGAGGGGUGGCUGGAAAAAGAGGGGUUUGGAGAAGUGGACUUGUGUUUCUCGGAUAAAGGUUUUUCUUUGUUGGGGAAGGACUGGUGCUCUGGGGAUGGAUUUGCCUUCACAUCAGUGAGGAGUAAGGGAGGGCAAGCUGCUAAAAUUUUUUAAGAUAGCUCUGUAAUUGAGUCAGAGGCCUUAUUGGGUCCCAAGCUACCAUUAGCUUUUAUAUUAAUCAAAUUGUUCAUAUUAAUAUGCAAAAAAAUUAAUAUACUAAGCCUUCCUUAAAGGCUAAAGAUUCUAGCAGCUUUUGCAUUUCUAGCAGGUAGGAAUUUCUCUAUUUUGUGAUACAGGUUAAACAUUUACUCAUUUAACAAAUAUUUUCUUGCUGUCUACCAUGUGUCAGGCAUUAUUUUAAGCACUGGGGAUACAGCAGAACACAAAAAUAGCCCCAAAUCUUUGCCUUCACAGUGUGGGAGACAGACAAUAAAUCAAGACUAAAAAGUAUGUUAGUGAAAGGUAUGAAGGAAAAAAGUAGGGAAUAGGAAGCAUGAGGUGGGUUAUAGUUCUAGGCAUGGUAGUCUGGGAAAGCCUUUGAAGAAGUGACAUUUGAAAAAAGAUCUUAGGUAAGUUUCUUCAUCAUCUAAAUACAUUAUAUGUUCUAAAUUUAAUUCUGACUCAGAGCUGCAGUUUAACAAGGUAGCAAGAAAUUUCACCUCAGCCAGGUUUUUAGAGUCUUCCCCACUUCCUAGGGAUGUAUGGGGUCCUCAGGUUUUCUGUCUUCCUCCUCCAAGUGAGUUUCUAGCCCUUCAUCUUGCUCCAGCCUCAUUGCUCCUGGGGUCUCUGUGUCCAACCCCGUAGGAUUCCUUUGAGGGGCCAGGUGUGGGUAAAGGAAUCUUUUGCUAUGGCUAAGAAGCCAUGACUUAAAUUUGUCUGUCACCCAGCAUCCAAGUGCUAUCUCAUCAGAGGGGCUCUCCCCUGUGGAGAUAUUGCCAGUAAACUGGGGAGACCCUGGGCCCUGGAGCCUUGACCCAGCCUGUCCCAAAGGUGUCGCUGAAGCUUCUUGGUCUCCUCACGAGAAAGAAUUCAAGGACAGACACAACACAGGGAUGAAUGACACAAGUGGGAAAGUUUAUUAAAGCUAGAGUAUACUCUUCAGAUGUGACAGCAGGUGACUUAGAGAAAGAGAAGAAGAGCUGUGCACACUGGGGUUUGGGUUUCUAUCUUUUAUUGACAGUUACAAACUAGGGGUGGAAUAUUCAUUACUAGGGGCAGGGAUUUCUUGGAAGCUGGGUUUUGGCCUUUUCUUCCUUUUUUGGCCAGGGUUUUCGUGUCAUGACACCCACCUUCUUGGGCCUGUCUGGUUUGAUCUGGCUUCUUGUGGAGUGCUGCCAGGACAGGCCUCUGACUUCCCUGAUAGGUGGCCAUGACUUCCUCUUUGCUGGCUUCUGGGUAUCCUGCUAGAAUCUAACUAACUGCUUACUCUAACAGAGACACAAGUCUGGGCUACUCUGGGAGCUCCCCUCCAAACUUCCAAACCCAUCUUUAGUCCAAAGGCCCUCAUAACAGGGCUACUCUCUCCCUCACAUUUCUUUCUAACAGCCCUUAUAAUAGCCCAAGCACCCAAACAAAAGCCUGGGUGGUAGUUUUCUAGGUGUCUCUCUACCAUUAUAUUUAACCUCCAAGGUCACAAUAGCAAGGGAGUGACCUUUAUAAGAUGAAUCUCAGAAGGACAGCCCUCAUUCCUUUGAGUCUCACUAAGGACAAAACACAAUUAAUGUCUCAAUAAAUUACCUUGCCAUACAUUCAAAUAAUGAAUGUGGUCACUAUGAAUUAUUUUUCUGUCAAUACACUCAGAGAAUUGUUGGAAAAAUACUUCUGUUCCUCUCUGACCUAUCAGCAUUAUGAGUAUCUGUGCUUGAAUUUGAAAAUAUUCACCUCUCUGAAUAUUGUUACCCAGGCUAUUUGCUAUUUCUCCCUCCUGCGCUGGUUGGGGGUAGAUUUAUAACAGUUUAUGUAAAAGACCAGUAAACAUGGACAUGGCAUUGGUAGUGGCCAGCAGAGAGAUUAGGAGACUAAAACAAAGGAAUAAAUGUCAAAUGGAAGAAAGGUGGGAGUGGGAGAAGGGAGGAGAACAGGGAAGGAGAUGGAGUAUUGAGAACCAGGGAAGAGAAGAGACCGAGGAGAAAAUGAAGUUAGAUACUCAGGAUGAAGAAAUAAAAAAAAAAAAAAAGAAAAAGAAAAAGAAA